CUUUCUUUAUCUUUUCUUCCUUUUUCUUUUUCUUUUUCUCUUUUCAAAGCCAAAAAAAGGAGAACAGGUCCUAUAUGCCAGCGCGCGCAUAUUCAGGCUAGCUGCUCCUUACAACUGUGAAAGACGAAUCUCUUUCUUGUUUUAUCCAUACUGAAUAGAGUCGCCAAUGCAACUAUUAUUUUGCUCACUGUUCAGAAACGACAUAUCGCCUAAUAUCAGUGUCGAUUAUGAAAUGGUAUUGAAACUUGUUUACACAAAUAUAUGACAAUGGCAAGCCCAUAUCAAGAGGAAAACAAAAACCAAGAAAAGAAAAAAUAUAAUAUUAAUGUAUCAUAAGUAGCUGAAGAAAUAGUAGAAAGUACAACAAAUCCAAUACAACCACUAUAAAAGAUAAUAACAAUCUGAACAAUAAAAAUCACAUGAAUAAUCAACUCCACAAGAAACAAAAACUACAGAUUGCCAUACUGGACAAUACAUGAUGCUACUCAGAACAGAAGAUGAAGUUUGCUAUGAAAAUCCACCAAGGAAAUAUAAGAUGGUAUAAUUAUAAGCAUUUUAAGGAGUAAUGGUUGACUGAGGUGGUUUAAUCUCCUUGGGAACAGUUGGUAUGGUAGGCAAUGUAGGCUUCGGAAGCUCAGGAAAGUGGGGCAAAGGUGGCAGUUCGGGUUUUGGCAAUUCUGGAACUCUGGGAAUUUCAGGUUUUGGCAAUUCAGGGAACUUGGGCACUUCAGGUUUUGGCAAUUCUGGCACUUUUGGGACUUCAGGCUUUGGCAGUUCAGGGAACUUAGGA
RNAcentral lists this long non-coding RNA (790 nucleotides) under Ricinus communis (castor bean). RNAcentral's name for it is "long non-coding RNA (RCOM_LNC001514)". The record is from RNAcentral. Lineage: Eukaryota; Viridiplantae; Streptophyta; Magnoliopsida; Malpighiales; Euphorbiaceae.